UUGAUCCCGCCGGAUGUCACUGCUAUCGGUGUUCGACUAAGCCAUGCGAGUCAAAUGUUCUUCGUGAACAUGGCGUACUGCUCAGUAACACGUGGAUAACCUGCCCUUAGGUCCGGCAUAACCCCGGGAAACUGGGGAUAAUUCCGGAUAGAUUAUAGAUGCUGGAAUGCCCUGUAAUCCAAAGCUAUUGUGCCUAAGGAUGGGUCUGCGGUCUAUCAGGUUGUAGUGGGUGUAACGUACCUACUAGCCUACGACGGAUACGGGUUGUGGGAGCAAGAGCCCGGAGAUGGAUUCUGAGACAUGAAUCCAGGCCCUACGGGGCGCAGCAGGCGCGAAAACUUUACAAUGCGGGGAACCGCGAUAAGGGGACACCGAGUGCCAGCAUCCUAUGUUGGCUGUCCAUAUGUCUAAAUCACAUGUGUUAGCAAGGGCCGGGCAAGACCGGUGCCAGCCGCCGCGGUAACACCGGCGGCCCGAGUGGUGGCCACUAUUAUUGGGUCUAA
This 503-nucleotide ribosomal RNA is filed under the name uncultured archaeon. Its description in RNAcentral is "bacterial SSU rRNA". It matches the Rfam family "Archaeal small subunit ribosomal RNA", at positions 8 to 513 of the family's 1478-position model. The record is from RNAcentral.